RNAcentral lists this ribosomal RNA (492 nucleotides) under uncultured bacterium. Its description in RNAcentral is "partial 16S ribosomal RNA". It matches the Rfam family "Bacterial small subunit ribosomal RNA", at positions 29 to 507 of the family's 1533-position model. The record is from RNAcentral.
AGUGAACGCUGGCGGUAGGCCUAACACAUGCAAGUCGAACGGCAGCACAGUAAGAGCUUGCUCUUACGGGUGGCGAGUGGCGGACGGGUGAGGAAUACAUCGGAAUCUACUUUUUCGUGGGGGAUAACGUAGGGAAACUUACGCUAAUACCGCAUACGACCUACGGGUGAAAGCAGGGGAUCUUCGGACCUUGCGCGAUUGAAUGAGCCGAUGUCGGAUUAGCUAGUUGGCGGGGUAAAGGCCCACCAAUGCGACGAUCCGUAGCUGGUCUGAGAGGAUGAUAAGCCACACUGGAACUGAGACACGGUCCAGACUCCUACGGGAGGCAGCAGUGGGGAAUAUUGGACAAUGGGCGCAAGCCUGAUACAGCCAUACCGCGUGGGUGAAGAAGGCCUUCGGGUUGUAAAGCCCUUUUGUUGGGAAAGAAAAGCAGCAGGUUAAUACCCCGCUGUUCUGACGGUACCCAAAGAAUAAGCACCGGCUAACUUCGUG